RNAcentral lists this ribosomal RNA (292 nucleotides) under uncultured bacterium. RNAcentral describes it as "partial 16S ribosomal RNA". It matches the Rfam family "Bacterial small subunit ribosomal RNA", at positions 505 to 796 of the family's 1533-position model. The record is from RNAcentral.
GUGUCAGCCGCCGCGGUAAUACGUAGGGUGCGAGCGUUGUCCGGAAUUAUUGGGCGUAAAGGGCUCGUAGGCGGUUUGUCGCGUCGGGAGUGAAAUCCACUGGCUUAACUGGUGGCUUGCUUUCGAUACGGGCAGACUGGAGGUAUGCAGGGGAGAACGGAAUUCCUGGUGUAGCGGUGAAAUGCGCAGAUAUCAGGAGGAACACCGGUGGCGAAGGCGGUUCUCUGGGCAUGUCCUGACGCUGAGGAGCGAAAGUGUGGGGAGCGAACAGGAUUAGAAACCCCCGUAGUCC